Molecule: long non-coding RNA, 1654 nt
Filed under: Helianthus annuus (common sunflower)
Lineage: Eukaryota; Viridiplantae; Streptophyta; Magnoliopsida; Asterales; Asteraceae
Description: hypothetical non coding rna
Source: RNAcentral
AGGUGAGGUGGGUGUGGCUAUGUUACAUCUUCUAGAUUUUUCUUUUUGACUAAUAGUUUUCUCACGUAAAGUUAAUUCGGAGGGUCAAAAUCAUAGACUUGAAACACUUUCCCAAACAUUUUGUCACAAAUUUCCUUUUUUUCAAAUUAAUCCUUCUUUCUUUUUCUCUAAUUAUUAUUAUUCUAUAAGUAAUAACAAGUGUUGUGAUAUCUUAGCAUAAAUUUUCAAUUUCUUUGUGGACGGUAAAGAUUUAAGAUAUGAUAUGAUAUAUUUCAUAUCAAUGUGUUUUUUAGUCGGAAUUUUUUUUUAAAGAUUUUCCAUAUAACAAAAUAAUUGGAUGAAGUUAGUGGACUCCACUAUAAUUAAAACCUAUAUAAAUUAGCAAGUUAUAUGUGCAUCAUCACUUGUACCCCAUACUUGGGGAGUGUUUCAAAAAAAAAUUUGAUUUCUCUUCUUCAUCUUCAUCCUCAUCCUGUAUCCUCAAUUUACAGUUACAAGCUUCAGAACUUUGUUGUGUCUUAGGUGGUUGUUGGCUGUAAUUGUUCCUACUUGCCACUCUCGGAUAAUAGAGAGUGAAGAUGCGAGAGAGAGAGUGGGUGGGACGGCAGGUCACGCUUCCGGCAACGGUGACUGAGAUCACCGGUGAAUUACAACCUGACUGUCGGUCUGGCAACGGUGACUGAGAGUUCAGUGGAUGGCGUCUGAUGGUUUGAGAGGUCUUUGGAUGGCGUCUCAUAGAUUGAGAGUUCAUUGUACAGUCGUUCUUCUUCUCAGAGCAACAAAUUAGCCCUAAACUAUAGAGAAUUUUCGAGGAUCCCUAACAGGGUUUCUGCUGGUAAUUGUUGAGGUGAUUAAAGUUAACCGAACUGACGAAAGGUCAGCCAAGAAGGCUCGAGGUUCAGCUACGAGGACGAGUGCGCGAAUUGGCAUGACCAAAGGCUAUUUAGAGAGAUGGAUCUGAUGAAGUUGUGUUCGGAGCUGAUAUACAUCCAGGUGCAAGAGGCUAUGACGAGUUAAGUCGCGAUCGGCUCUUGGCGUGGCAGGAUCGGAGAGUUUCUCUAUUUGCAACCUCUGAUGCAGCCAUGGUGGUCUAAUAGACGGAUCUGAACCACGCUAUAUUAGUCGGCAAAUCUGAGCCAAACAAGUUGUAUCUAUUCAUAUUGAUACAACUCUUUAACUCGAUGUUUUCUCUUUCGGUUACUUUGGCGAGUGUUGAUGCCGUAACGAAUCAAACGAAUACCGGACAAUCUUUUAGCUUCUAUGAUUAGUGAAUGUCAACCCGGCCGCAACGCGGCGGGUGUUACAUCUAGUUGAUAUGAAAAUCAAACUUUUGAUUUAAAAAGGUAAAAAAAAAAAAAAAAUCUUUUAGACUAAAAUAGAUAUUUAUGUCAACGAGUAAAUUGUCAUUUUAGUCCCUGAGUUUUGUCCAAAUUUGCCAUUUUAGUCCAAAUAGUUUUUUUAUUGCCUUUGGGUCCCUGACUUUUCCCUUUUAUUGCCAUUUUGAUCACAUACACUCACUCCAUCCAAAAACUCCAUCUUUAACCAAGGGUAUUUUGGGGAUUUUCAUUUUAAAUGUUUUCAAUUGCCAUUUUGAUCCAAUUCCAAAAAAUCAAAAAAAUUCCAAAAAAUAAAAAAAUUCCAAAAAAUUCUAAAA